CAGCAGGCUUAACUGACCCAGUGGUUGAAAUGCCACAGACAGCGCCACCUGGCUUAUGCAAAAAUUCAGGAUAAGUAAAAUUAUCUGGUGUCAAAUUGCCUAUGAUGAUGAAAGAACCAAUUAACCCAUGACACCAGAAGAACCAAGAGGAAGUUAAGCAAAUGAGAAGUAAAGGAUAAGAGAAGAAUACAUGCCAGAUGAUGGAUAGCAAUCAGAGAGAAGCUGGAAAACAAGGAGGCUGCAUGCACCAACAGCAGUAACUAAUAAAAAGAAUCCCAAC
Molecule: non-coding RNA, 280 nt
Organism: Pelodiscus sinensis (Chinese soft-shelled turtle)
Lineage: Eukaryota; Metazoa; Chordata; Testudines; Trionychidae
Source: RefSeq, a predicted model, not a curated record